GAUGAAGAACGUAGCGAAAUGCGAUAAGUAAUGUGAAUUGCAGAAUUCAGUGAAUCAUCGAAUCUUUGAACGCACAUUGCGCCCGCCAGUAUUCUGGCGGGCAUGCCUGUUCGAGCGUCAUUACAACCCUCAGCCCCCCGGGCCUGGCGUUGGGGAUCGGCGGAGCCCCCCGUGGGCACACGCCGUCCCCCAAAUGCAGUGGCGGUCCCGCCGCAGCUUCCAUCGCGUAGUAGCUAACACCUCGCGACUGGAGAGCGGCGCGGCCACGCCGUAAAACACCCAACUCUUCUGAAGUUGACCUCGAAUCAGGUAGGAAUACCCGCUGAACUUAAGCAUAUCAAUAAGCGGAGGA
This 352-nucleotide unclassified non-coding RNA is filed under the name soil metagenome. Its description in RNAcentral is "partial contains 5.8S ribosomal RNA, internal transcribed spacer 2, and large subunit ribosomal RNA". The stretch from base 1 to 120 matches the Rfam family "5.8S ribosomal RNA", at positions 35 to 154 of the family's 154-position model. The record is from RNAcentral.